This is a long non-coding RNA of Corythoichthys intestinalis (scribbled pipefish), 1498 nucleotides long. RefSeq lists it as uncharacterized. The record is from RefSeq and is a predicted model, not a curated record. Lineage: Eukaryota; Metazoa; Chordata; Actinopteri; Syngnathiformes; Syngnathidae. The transcript has 2 exons.
UCCAUUUUUUGGCUUUUUUCGUUUUUUUCUGUGUUUAAAAGGAAAAAAAGCAUUUGAAAAAAUACACUAGGGAGCUGAUAUUUCCUGCAGGAUACUAAAUCAUGUAGAAGUUCGAAAUGGCACCAUCAGGCAAUUUCUAACUUAUUGCAAACAGGCUGGGAAGAUUUGCACUAAACUCUUGUUAUUUUGCCAUUUUUUGGCUCAUUGACUCCCAUUAUAAAUCAUGAUUUUUAAUAUGCUGUAAACCUGAUGUUUUAUCAUGCAUUUUCCGUGAUUAUUGAUGCAAUCGCUUCUUUGGCGAGUCAAAAACAUGCAGAUAAAAAAAUUUUUGUGUUGACACCCAGAAGUCACUAGAUGGAGCCAUAGGCCAAUACAUGAAUUUGCUUGCGAAGCUAGCUUUAGAUCGGUCAAAAAUUAAUGCAAUAAAGAUGGUUGGCUUUACAAAAAAAUUGGUGAUAAUGUUGUCUGAGCUCACUUUCAGUCUAUUUGGGCAUGCGUAUUUGCAAUUUUGCACGUUUGCACAAGACAAUAAAAAGGUACUUCCCGGAAAUGCAAAAAAAACAAAACAAAAAAACACGUGUUUAUUGUUGUCGUUUGAAUUUCAACUCUUAUUGGUUGGGUGUUUGAAUUUCUUUACUCUCAUUGGUUCUGGGCAUUUUGGGAGUCUCUGUUCUCGCGAGGAUCACCAUUUUGCAUUUCUUCCAACACAACUGUGAUCGAUGGCGGCGAGAAGUAUUUCACCGCAGGACACGAUUCGAAUGGUGUUAGAAAAUCCUGAUUCCGACGACGACGACCUUUGUUCGGACGCUUCUUUGGAGAGCCCAGAAGACAUUGAACAAAUUCUUCCGGACUUUCGAUGCCGGAGGAGGACGGCUUUGAUGACGAGGAUUAGGAAAUAGUUGACAACAUAAUGAGAUGAAAGCGGGGAGCAGAAGGCGGGGGCACGGACAUGACCACGUUGAGGCGCAUGACGAAAAUGACGGCGAUCGAGGUAAUGACGAGAGCCUGUGGCACAUACUCCUGCCGCCGGCGCGCACUCAGGUGGCCAAUGUGUGAGUUUUUUCACAUGCCGGACAUUUCGUCAUGCAGCGCGUUUGUGCUGUUCACGGAGAUCUACCCUCGUUUGUGCUGUUCACGGAGAUCUACCCUGAGUGGAACGUGAAGAAAAGCUACAAGCGCCGACUAUUUCUUGAGGAACUUGGCAAGGCUCUAAUUCGCCCAGAAGUCCUAAAACGGGAACCACCGCCUUCUGCCGAAGGCUUGGUUGAGCAGCGAGCUGGACCCCCGUCCAAGCGCAAACAAUGUGGCCUUUGCACAAAGCCACUUCGGGCUUCGAACAUAAUAAUAAAUAAUAAUACAUUUUAUUUAUAACGCACUUUACAUUUGAACAACAAAUCUCAAAGUGCACAUCAUGAAUUGUGUAUGUUGUUAUUAUGUUAACUGUUAUAUUGUAUGUAUGUUUUGUAAAAUUGUUAACAUAAAUUCUAUCAUCAAAUCA